This 293-nucleotide ribosomal RNA is filed under the name uncultured bacterium. RNAcentral describes it as "partial 16S ribosomal RNA". It matches the Rfam family "Bacterial small subunit ribosomal RNA", at positions 775 to 1067 of the family's 1533-position model. The record is from RNAcentral.
GGAUUAGAUACCCUGGUAGUCCACGCUGUAAACGAUGUCUACUAGCCGUUGGAUUCCUUGAGGAUUUGGUGGCGCAGCUAACGCGAUAAGUAGACCGCCUGGGGAGUACGGCCGCAAGGUUAAAACUCAAAUGAAUUGACGGGGGCCCGCACAAGCGGUGGAGCAUGUGGUUUAAUUCGAUGCAACGCGAAGAACCUUACCAGGUCUUGACAUCCAGAGGAUCCACUAGAGAUAGAGGAGUGCCUUCGGGAGCUCUGAGACAGGUGCUGCAUGGCUGUCGUCAGCUCGUGCCG